This 304-nucleotide small nuclear RNA is filed under the name Colobus angolensis palliatus. RNAcentral's name for it is "7SK RNA (ENSCANG00000008386.1)". It matches the Rfam family "7SK RNA". From Rfam's summary of the family: 7SK was discovered as an abundant small nuclear RNA in the mid-70s but a possible function has only recently been suggested. Two independent studies have found that 7SK RNA binds the CDK9/cyclin T complex (known as elongation factor P-TEFb). The record is from Rfam by way of RNAcentral. Lineage: Eukaryota; Metazoa; Chordata; Mammalia; Primates; Cercopithecidae.
AGUUGUAAGGGUGAUCAGGCUACAACAUCUGUCACCCCAUUGAUUACCAAGGCUUAUUUGGCUGGUCUGGCUGGCUGGAUGGGUAUUCCCUUCCUUCCUCACUGCUCCAUGUGUGUCCCUCCUGAAACUGUGUGGUUGGUAGAGAAAGAUAUUCUCUGAUAGGGGAGGAUUACUCCUCAGACAAGUGUCUAUGAGUAGCUGCUCUUCCCUGCUAGAACCUCCAAAGAAGCUCUCUCUGUCAAAAAAAAAAAAAAAAAGCCCACAUUAUGUACAGGUAAAUGAAGGAUGACUAUCAACUUAUCCU